UAAUAAUCAAUGCUUAGAACAAGUGUGUGCGAGUGCCACUGUUAAGGGGAAAAAAAGUUCAUAUGUGAAUAAACCCUCAACUUUUAUUGAAAUUUCUGAGAGUAUAUUGAGGAUGGAUUGCAUUCCUCAAGCUAACUCAAUAUUGGCGAAAAUCGAUAUGGGACUGAUAUGCGAGUAUGGGCAGCAAACCAUCGAAGUAAUCGAGACACACAUUCCCACUGUUACCCGCAUAGCGUUUUGGCUACCUGGGCAGCCAUGGCCACCAGAUGGCUACCAAAAUUGAUUCAGUGACGGUUGUCAAAUCCAAUUUGACAAAACAAAUUCGCCUGUAUCUAAGCUAACCGAGCGUUAUCAUCUUCUCACCCUCGCUGAAAAUGUCAAAGAUUUCAAUGUGGAAAAAUCCUGGUGGAUACGGUUGUAUCAUUUGAGUUGUUUAUCUGGCAGCGGUGAGGCAGUCGGUCACCAGAAUGUAUGCCAGCCGUAUUUUUCCAGCUGGUAGAGCAGAGCCGUAGCAACCUAGGGGGCAAGGGGGGGCUUUGCCCCACCACGCGGUUUCCGCCUCACCACGUAUUUUUCUCGUAUAUGAAAUUGAUAGUAGAAAGGAAAAAAAUUAAAGAAUUAUAAAAUAAAAAGCAAUAAAGAGAUCUAUUUGUAUAGUUUAUACUGCGUUCACAGUUCUUUUAUUAUUUUGAACAAUGAUAUUCAACCACUUUUUUAAUAUAAUUGCACUUUGCGAUUUUUUUGUUCGUUGAAUCUUAAAAGGACUGUGUCCACGUCUAAAAAAUCCAGUCGCUUGUGCUCGAAUGCCAGAAACGAUAAAUUGUUUAAUCUAUCAGUGGACAUGCUAAUACGUUGAGGCCGCAUGAUCCGUGUCAAUGCCGAAAAUGAUGAUUCGCAUACUGCCGUUCCGGACGGAAAAGUUUCAAUGGUUGCAAAAAGGUUGUAUACGUUUUCCAUUCCUUGGCACACCUUAUACAGCUCUGUCAGUAUUACAGUCUUAAUUUUU
Malaya genurostris is the source of this 1006-nucleotide long non-coding RNA. RefSeq lists it as uncharacterized. The transcript is spliced from 2 exons. The record is from RefSeq and is a predicted model, not a curated record. Lineage: Eukaryota; Metazoa; Arthropoda; Insecta; Diptera; Culicidae.